AUUGAACGCUGGCGGCAUGCCUUACACAUGCAAGUCGAACGGCAGCACGGGAGCAAUCCUGGUGGCGAGUGGCGAACGGGUGAGUAAAGUAUCGGAACGUGCCCAGUCGUGGGGGAUAACGUAGCGAAAGUUACGCUAAUACCGCAUACGAUCUAUGGAUGAAAGCGGGGGAUCGCAAGACCUCGCGCAAUUGGAGCGGCCGAUAUCAGAUUAGGUAGUUGGUGGGGUAAAGGCUCACCAAGCCGACGAUCUGUAGCUGGUCUGAGAGGACGACCAGCCACACUGGGACUGAGACACGGCCCAGACUCCUACGGGAGGCAGCAGUGGGGAAUUUUGGACAAUGGGCGAAAGCCUGAUCCAGCCAUGCCGCGUGCAGGAUGAAGGCCUUCGGGUUGUAAACUGCUUUUGUACAGAACGAAAAGGUUUGGCCUAAUAAGCUGAGCUCAUGACGGUACCGUAAGAAUAAGCACCGGCUAACUACGUGCCAGCAGCCGCCGCCG
Molecule: ribosomal RNA, 500 nt
Filed under: uncultured bacterium
Lineage: Bacteria
Description: partial 16S ribosomal RNA
Rfam family: Bacterial small subunit ribosomal RNA
Source: RNAcentral